Molecule: long non-coding RNA, 417 nt
Filed under: Olea europaea (common olive)
Lineage: Eukaryota; Viridiplantae; Streptophyta; Magnoliopsida; Lamiales; Oleaceae
Description: long non-coding RNA (OEUR_LNC003570)
Source: RNAcentral
CUCUCGUCUCCAGCAGCAGCCCAACCCAGCUCUUGCCCAAAUCUAAUCCAUUUUAUUUGAUUCUACUCAUCUCUCAGCAACACACAUUCUUGUGAAUUGAAAUUGCCGAUUUACAAGACGAACUGACAUUACGAAGCACGGCCACAGCGACUUUGAAUCUUUUCUUUCCGCCUCUCAUAGUCUCACUCUCGUCACUCUAAGCCCUCGACAAGAUGACGCCAAGCUGCUUUAGUCUUCCUUCCAUCAACAGCCGGUAGCGCAUGCAACAGUGAUUCAUUUUUGGAAGAAGAAAGAAUGUAACCUAGAACCAUGGAACCGUGAACUAGUGAAGCUAGAAGCCCUCUCAUUGAACUUUUCUUUUUAGUUGUUAUUUUGAUUUGAUUUAAGCCUAAAAUCAAGAUGAGUCAGUUUUGUGAU